UGGGGAAUUUUGGACAAUGGGCGAAAGCCUGAUCCAGCAAUGCCGCGUGUGUGAAGAAGGCCUUCGGGUUGUAAAGCACUUUUGUCCGGAAAGAAAUCCUUGGCUCUAAUACAGUCGGGGGAUGACGGUACCGGAAGAAUAAGCACCGGCUAACUACGUGCCAGCAGCCGCGGUAAUACGUAGGGUGCAAGCGUUAAUCGGAAUUACUGGGCGUAAAGCGUGCGCAGGCGGUUUGCUAAGACCGAUGUGAAAUCCCGGGCUCAACCUGGGAACUGCAUUGGUGACUGGCAGGCUAGAGUAUGGCAGAGGGGGGUAGAAUUCCACGUGUAGCAGUGAAAUGCGUAGAGAUGUGGAGGAAUACCGAUGGCGAAGGCAGCCCCUGGGCCAAUACUGACGCUCAUGCACGAAAGCGUGGGGAGCAAACAGGAUUAGAUACCCUGGUAGCCCACGCCCUAAACGAUGUCAACUAGUUGUUGGGGAUUCAUUUCCUUAGUAACGUAGCUAACGCGUGAAGUUGACCGCCUGGGGAGUACGGUCGCAAGAUUAAAACUCAAAUGAAUUGACGGGGUCAUAGCUGUUUCCU
Molecule: ribosomal RNA, 583 nt
Filed under: uncultured bacterium
Lineage: Bacteria
Description: partial 16S ribosomal RNA
Rfam family: Bacterial small subunit ribosomal RNA
Source: RNAcentral